GAUAUUCUCGUUCUUCUUCUUGCU
Molecule: small RNA, 24 nt
Filed under: Arabidopsis thaliana (thale cress)
Lineage: Eukaryota; Viridiplantae; Streptophyta; Magnoliopsida; Brassicales; Brassicaceae
Description: ATSL137230
Source: RNAcentral